This 408-nucleotide ribosomal RNA is filed under the name Triticum aestivum (bread wheat). RNAcentral's name for it is "partial small subunit ribosomal RNA". Lineage: Eukaryota; Viridiplantae; Streptophyta; Magnoliopsida; Poales; Poaceae. The record is from RNAcentral.
AUGGCUAGUCCAUUCGGUGUCUUGGUUUGUCUACUCAUAGUGCUACCACAAAUCCUUGCUAUUUCUAGCCCCAUCGACGAGAUUGCACCUCUUAAGACAUGUCAGUUCCCUUGUAUGACCGAGGUUAACUUGCACUUGUUCUUGCACCAAUUCGUCGACGGGCCAAACAACCCAAACCGCAAUGAGGAAACCUUACUCCAAGCAAGUUUUAUUUUUGGGUUUGGGACGACGGUAGUCCAUGACUGGACUCUUACUAAGACAACAAAUUCCAGAGACACGGUUGUUGCACGUGUACAAGGUGUGCAUGUCCAGGCUGGUUUAACCAAGCCUAACAGAUGGUACACAACUCAUAACAUAGAGUUUCAGCAAGGAAGGUUUGCGGGGUCCACCCUUCAAGUGAUGGGAUAA